UGGGGAAUAUUGCGCAAUGGGCGAAAGCCUGACGCAGCAACGCCGCGUGCGGGAUGAAGGCCUUCGGGUUGUAAACCGCUUUCAGCAGGGACGAAACUGACGGUACCUGCAGAAGAAGCCCCGGCUAACUACGUGCCAGCAGCCGCGGUAAUACGUAGGGGGCUAGCGUUAUCCGGAUUCAUUGGGCGUAAAGCGCGCGUAGGCGGGCUGUUAAGUCAGGUGUGAAAACCGGGGGCUCAACCCGCGGCCUGCACCUGAAACUGGCAGCCUCGAGUCUGGUAGAGGAAAGUGGAAUUCCCAGUGUAGCGGUGAAAUGCGCAGAUAUUGGGAGGAACACCAGUGGCGAAGGCGGCUUUCUGGGCCACGACUGACGCUGAGGCGCGAAAGCUAGGGGAGCAAACA
This 402-nucleotide ribosomal RNA is filed under the name uncultured Coriobacteriaceae bacterium. RNAcentral's name for it is "bacterial SSU rRNA". It matches the Rfam family "Bacterial small subunit ribosomal RNA", at positions 355 to 774 of the family's 1533-position model. The record is from RNAcentral. Lineage: Bacteria; Bacillati; Actinomycetota; Coriobacteriia; Coriobacteriales; Coriobacteriaceae.